This 2738-nucleotide ribosomal RNA is filed under the name Triticum aestivum (bread wheat). Its description in RNAcentral is "partial small subunit ribosomal RNA". The record is from RNAcentral. Lineage: Eukaryota; Viridiplantae; Streptophyta; Magnoliopsida; Poales; Poaceae.
GGUGGUGGUGUGGGCAUCGAACGGUACCUAGCGCGGCGGCGGGCCGAGGGGUGGCAGCAGAAGCGAGGGACAGAGUAGACGGCAGCGACGGGUGGUGUAGGUGAGAUACAGCGUAGGGUGGCGAAGGUAGCGGUGGCAAUUGGUAGAGAGCGGAAUCAGGAGAGAGAACCUGGUCGUGCGACGCCGCCUACGAAGGCCAGCACACCACCGCUGCGCCGACCAGCGGAUAUUCGAUGUUGUUACCAAGGGACAACAUGGGGAGGUGAGUGGUCUGGCGACUCCGUACCUACAUGGGCCACUUCUAGCGCGAGGCGUAUCGUUUAAGCCGGUACAAGACUCACCAACGAGCCGUUCCAUCUUCUCGUUCACUAGUCUUCCGGGUAUUAAAAAAGUACCUACAUCUUCUUUGGCUUUUCUAGGAAAGUACCAACAUGUUCCUUCGGGAUUUUAUGGAUGGAAGUGGAAGCGAAGGAGAUUAGACAUGAGAUAGGGAGGGGGUCAACUUUUUGUUUAGGUGCAGAGAGAGUUUUGGUUCAACUCCGUACCUAGGGCACAUUAGUUCCUCGAAUAACACAGUUCUAAUAAAAGAAGGAGACCUAGUCAGUGGGGAAGUCUAUCACAACGCGCGAGUUCCCUAAGUUAGAUCUUAGAAGAGUGGAUGUCAUGUUGGAUACCUACAGGCUCUAGCCAGCCCCGUAUUGAUACGAGGAGUCCACUCAAAUAUUUAAUUCUUUGUACAACAGAUUUGUUUGUAUUUGUACUUCCUCGGAUUACAGUCAACAGUUGUACGGCGACAAAUUCGUGAGGAUUUAGUUAAAAGCAUACCCGUUUUGUACGGUCCCUGGGAUAUACCGUUCUAAUUAUAGAAAAGAACUAAAGAAAACAACGACGAGACGGUGUUAGAGGACUAAUUCCUUCAUGGAACGGUUCGACCGUACAGGACCGGCAACAUCCAUUCUCUUAACUGAAGACUACUUGAAAGAAGAAGAAUAGGAGAAAGUCAAUCUAUCAAUGUAACACUUUGUGAACUGUUGCUUCGAGAGACAGUUGAUAAUCUCAUAACUGCCAAAGACAGCAUUUAGACUUACAAAAACGCCCGUUAACAAAACAUUUUCGUUACCGUGUACUGUUGAUGAUUUCGUAACUCACAGUAACGACAACGUGAAAGAUAUUCAUACCCCUAACUAAAAGACGGUUAAGACGCAAUGUUGAAUGCUGACUGUUGAUGAUUUAAAGUUACGGGAAAAACUGUUAAAAUCCAAUUUAUCUUACCGCACACUUUAUUAACCACGAUAGUUGAUCCUCAUUAGUACAGUAACAACCCAUUACAUCGUCAAUACGAGACGUAACUAUAAUUUCAGUUGUGUUUCCUUGAGAGUGUAUACAAACGAAACAGAGGUUGACCCUUUAUUACACACGUAUGUAUGGGUGACCUUACAAUGGGCGCGAGGCAUGAGCCGAGGCCACUAUGUCAAAUUGCCGUUCUGUGUGAAUAGAUUGUUUCACGAGUGUUGAAGGGUCGUUUACGACGAGUAACUCACGGAGGAGGUAAGUUACUCCUUUUCAACUGACGAACUCUUUUUCUUCGACACUCAAGGGGUGUAGAUGACUUGUAGCAAAACCAAUGAAGCAAAGAGAAGGACGUCAAAAACGUACCCGACGCCUACACUACGAAACAUACCCUUGUUCUGACUAUACUAAACCUAUACGACGUACAUGUAAGCUGAAUCAACAUGAGCCCUUACAAAUUCUUUCAUUAAACGUUGUUGCACCUACAGUCUAAAUAGUUGAUGACAGUGAGAACCAAAACUUCCUAAACUAAUACCCUCAAAAUCAUACGGGACUGGUUCAUGUUAUCUACAUCUGUGGUAACAGCGAAGGAAUAAACAUACACUAAGUCUAUAAAAUUUUGGAAUAGACAUGGUAACUUAAUACAAAAAAAAGACACCCCUCAUGGUAACUUAAUACAACAAUACAUCCAACGGGCUAUACAAGUAGCUACGGCACCUGUUGCUAAAAAUAAUAGCAAAGGGUAUAAAUAGAUUAAUCCAAACGUUAAUGUGAAACAAAAUAAAUAGUAGACAUAGAUCUUUUAGUCUAACACUUCGAAUAUUAAAUAAUCAAAAAGACACUAAAGGGAAAUAAAACGACUAUCAGGUGAUGAGUCCUAAUAUUCUCGGUGGUAGAAACACUCGUAAAAUUGAAGUCCACAAGGUUCCACAAUCAUACCAAGAUGUCUCUUUCGACGUGUUGUACGGAUUAAAACAUGAAUGGAACGUCAAGACAUCUAGAUGAUGUUAAUAUACUACAGGAGUUUAGUCUGGAAACGUUCGUAGUGUUCUAUAGUCAUAUAUAUACAUCGCGUGGAAACCAAGUUAGUAUGUAAGUAUCAUCAAACUACAUGAUGCAAAACCAACCAUCUCUCCUAAGACUACCACUGCGUACUAAGUGACAUAAAACAAAACAAAAGUCCGGCUACUUUAACGACCUGAUCUUUUUUUUAGACACACAUAUAUUCAGUAGGUCGAGGCCCUCGCGCGCCUCGCUACGAACCCGCUGAGGAUCUUUUACCCAACGCCCGGCGAAGCGAGGCCGCGCCACGAAGCCUCGCCUCUCGAUGGCUUGUUGCGGAAACGCAAUCCUAAUUCUCGUACUACUAACGUUCCUAAAAGUCAAAACUUUCCAUAACCACUCCAAGGUCAGGUAAUGACGUCUCGUGUGGAAAACAAUCUAGCAUG